This 360-nucleotide ribosomal RNA is filed under the name Triticum aestivum (bread wheat). RNAcentral's name for it is "partial small subunit ribosomal RNA". Lineage: Eukaryota; Viridiplantae; Streptophyta; Magnoliopsida; Poales; Poaceae. The record is from RNAcentral.
AUGGUUUUGGUAUCCGCUCCCGUCGGCCCUCGUCUUGUCUAUGAUUCGGAUGUGGAGGUUGUUGAACCGGAAAUUCCAACCGACCCUAUUGUCGAGAGGUUAAAUUUAGUUGAAGAAGAAAACAAUUUCUUGAAGGAAAAAAUUAGAAAAAUUGAGGAGGAGAAGAUGAUAUUGGAGUUGCAUGUUGCGGAUGUCGUGGAUGAUCACAAGAUCAAGAUGGAUGCAAUGCGCUUGAAGAUUAGAAAGAUUAAAAAAUAUGCCAUUCAUACCGAGGCUUGGUAUCAUUAUGCCGUUGGAUCAGUUGUUACAUUGGUUGUGAUUAUGAUCGCAUUUGUUUUCGCAUUGAAAUGUUUUACAUAG